This 805-nucleotide ribosomal RNA is filed under the name Bacillus sp. IDA1626. Its description in RNAcentral is "bacterial SSU rRNA". It matches the Rfam family "Bacterial small subunit ribosomal RNA", at positions 35 to 822 of the family's 1533-position model. The record is from RNAcentral. Lineage: Bacteria; Bacillati; Bacillota; Bacilli; Caryophanales; Bacillaceae.
GCUGGCGGCGUGCCUAAUACAUGCAAGUCGAGCGAAUCUUUGGGAGCUUGCGUCCCAAGGUUAGCGGCGGACGGGCUGAGUAACACGUGGGCAACCUGCCUGUAAGACUGGGAUAACGUCGGGAAACCGGAGCUAAUACCGGAUAAUCUUUUUCCUCUCAUGAGGAAAAACUGAAAGACGGUUUCGGCUGUCACUUACAGAUGGGCCCGCGGCGCAUUAGCUAGUUGGUGAGGUAAGCGCUCACCAAGGCGACGAUGCGUAGCCGACCUGAGAGGGUGAUCGGCCACACUGGGACUGAGACACGGCCCAGACUCCUACGGGAGGCAGCAGUAGGGAAUCUUCCACAAUGGACGAAAGUCUGAUGGAGCAACGCCGCGUGAGCGAUGAAGGCCUUCGGGUCGUAAAGCUCUGUUGUUAGGGAAGAACAAGUAUCGGAGUAACUGCCGGUACCUUGACGGUACCUAACCAGAAAGCCACGGCUAACUACGUGCCAGCAGCCGCGGUAAUACGUAGGUGGCAAGCGUUGUCCGGAAUUAUUGGGCGUAAAGCGCGCGCAGGCGGUCCUUUAAGUCUGAUGUGAAAGCCCACGGCUCAACCGUGGAGGGUCAUUGGAAACUGGGGGACUUGAGUGCAGAAGAGGAAAGCGGAAUUCCACGUGUAGCGGUGAAAUGCGUAGAGAUGUGGAGGAACACCAGUGGCGAAGGCGGCUUUCUGGUCUGUAACUGACGCUGAGGCGCGAAAGCGUGGGGAGCAAACAGGAUUAGAUACCCUGGUAGUCCACGCCGUAAACGAUGAGUGCUAAGUG